UACGUAGGGGGCGAGCGUUGUCCGAAUUUACGGGGCGUAAAGCGCACGUAGGCGGACUUUUAAGUCGGGGGUGAAAUGCCGGGGCUCAACCUCGGAACUGCCUUCGAUACUGUGAGUCUUGAGGCUGGAAGAGGUGAGUGGAAUUCCUAGUGUAGAGGUGAUAUGCGUAGAUAUUAGGAGGAACACCAGUGGCGAAGGCGGCUCACUGGUCCGGUUCUGACGCUGAGGUGCGAAAGCGUGGGGAGCAACCAGG
RNAcentral lists this ribosomal RNA (253 nucleotides) under uncultured bacterium. RNAcentral describes it as "partial 16S ribosomal RNA". It matches the Rfam family "Bacterial small subunit ribosomal RNA", at positions 524 to 776 of the family's 1533-position model. The record is from RNAcentral.